AUUGAACGCUGGCGGCAGGCCUAACACAUGCAAGUCGAACGGUAACAGGAAGAAGCUUGCUUCUUUGCUGACGAGUGGCGGACGGGUGAGUAAUGUCUGGGAAACUGCCUGAUGGAGGGGGAUAACUACUGGAAACGGUAGCUAAUACCGCAUAACGUCGCAAGACCAAAGAGGGGGACCUUCGGGCCUCUUGCCAUCGGAUGUGCCCAGAUGGGAUUAGCUAGUAGGUGGGGUAACGGCUCACCAAGGCGACGAUCCCUAGCUGGUCUGAGAGGAUGAACAGGCCACAGGGAAAUGAGGCAAGGGUCCGAACCCCAAGGGGGGGAGAAGGGGGGAAUAUUUGCACAUGGGGGAAAGCCGUAAGGAGGCAAGGCGCGGGUGAGAAGAAGGGCCUUGGGGUUUAAAAGAACUUUAGGGGGGAGGAAGGGAAGUAAAGUAAAACCUUUUUCUCUUGACGGUACCCAGCGAAAAAGGCCCGGCUAACCCCGGG
Molecule: ribosomal RNA, 490 nt
Filed under: uncultured bacterium
Lineage: Bacteria
Description: partial 16S ribosomal RNA
Rfam family: Bacterial small subunit ribosomal RNA
Source: RNAcentral